ACCUUGCGAUGCGUUUGGGCCUACCAGGUCUGACCGGCAUCCUCCCCCACCAUCUGGGCCAACUCACCACCAGGUAGUGGUCAGUUGACAGCUCCACCCCUCGCUUCACCCGAGUGUCCAUCACAUUUGGCCGAAGGUCAGAUGAAACAACAACAAGUCGAUCAUCGAGCUGCAGCCUAAGAUAUCCUGGUACCAAGAGCACAUAUGGACACCUUUAUGUCUGAAGAUGGUGUUCAUUAUGGACAAUCCAUGACUGGCACAGAAGUCCAAUAAAAAAACACCACUCGAAUUCAGAUCAGGGGGGCCGUUCCUCCCAACCACACCUCUCCAGGUCUCACUGUCGUUGCCCACGUGAGCGUUAAAGUCCCCCAGCAGAACGAGGGAGUCACCGGAAGGAGCGCUCUCCAGCACCCCCUCCAAGGUCUCCAAAAAGGGUGGGUAGUCUGAACUGUAGUUUGGUGCAUAAGCACAGACCACAGUCAGAACCCAUCCCCCACACGUAGGCAGAAGGAGGCUACCCUCUCAUUCACUGGGGUAAACCCCAACGUACAGGCACCAAGAUGGGGGGGCAACUAAUAUGCCCACCCCUGCUCAGCGCCUCUCAGUGGGAGCAACUCCAGAGUGGUAGAAAGUCCAACCCAUCUCAAGGAAACUGGUUCCAGAGCCAGAGCCAUGCGUUGAGAUGAGUCCGACUAUAUCUAGUCGGAACCUCUCAACCUCACACACCAACUCAGGCUCCUUCCCCACCAGAGAGGUGACAUUCCAUGUGCCAAGAGCCAGCUUCUGUAGCCGAGGAUCAGGCAGCCAAAGUCCCCGCCCUCGGUUACCACCCGUCACACACUGCACCCAACCCCUUUGGCCCCUCCCACGAGUGGUGAGCCCAUGGGAAAGGGGACCCACGUUUCUUCUUCGGGCUGUGCCUGGCCGGGCUCCAUGUAUCAUGGUCUGCCUCAAUCAGCAGGAGAGGAGACCUGGCAAUCAGCUGUUUUUGUUGCAGGUGGGCGUGGCAACGAGCUCCAGCUGAUCCUGAUCCUGCUAAUCAGAAGGCCAGGGGAUUUAAGGAGCGGUGAGACACAACUCCAGUGCCAGUUGAUACUCUCACCAAGUAUCUCGCCUCAUAUCCUCUAACCACGCCUGGAGUUGUAUUCCACGUCCCGCCGUUCAGGAUCCUCUGGCCUCCACUCUCCAUCGCUCGCCUGCCUGCCAACCUACACCCUGGACUCAUACAACCAUCUCCUGACCACCUCUAGCCUGGUGAACUAGACCAAAUUCUUGCUUUGCAAAGUUUGGUCUAGGAACGCUCCACUGGAACCUCUGCAGCUCCAACAGCAUUCUGGCUGGCCAAUCACAGCUCUCUAGAGGGGUUUCAAACACAUUAAGAGCUGUGAUUGGUCCAUAAUGGUGGGCCAAUCAUAGUGCUCUAUCUGCUUAGUGAACAAAUCAUAGAGCUUCAUCCUCUUUGUGGGCCAAUCAGGGCACUCUAUGUGCCUGGUGGGUGGGAUGAUGCAACAGAGUGAAACAAGAGUAUGGCUGUGAUCGAGAUGAGCUGGUUCUGCGCAGAUUAGAUCACCGGUGAUCGGCGCGCAGUGCUUGCCGGUUAGAUUUGUGUCCGACUUGACGCCGACUUGCUCUAACGUCAAGCCUACGUAGGCAACGAUAACCUCGUGAGAUCAAGGCAGCCGCAGAUUUUGGAGAAAGGCGCUGCAGUUGCUCUCCCUCGGCUGCAAAACCUAGGGGAUGACGGGAAACGCCUGUCAUGAGCCGGGGUGAGUACUCCUCAUUCACCUUAACAUCUUUGAGUCUCUUGCCAGGAGAGGGAGUGCCCAGCUGUUCCUGAUCAGCAAUAGCGGGGUGGUUCCUGCUUAAGGGUUCAACGUCGGAAGAUUGCCUCAGCUUGGAUUCCUGUGUUUGAUCUCUGGCCACUGAGCUUUUGGAUACUCACCUCAGGACUCCUGGGUUUGGAAACUCAGAACCUCCAGGACCCUUUCACCGCUCUCCAUAACUACUCUCCCAACAUUUCGGCUCAGUGUCAUCCAUCCACCAGGGCGCCCUGCUUAUCAUCACCUGUGCUCCCUCUCCUGCGCUCUCCCCGGCUCUCAACCUGCUCCCUCCUCCAGCCAGCAACUCUCACCUUACCGUAAGAUCAUUUGAACUAACCUCGGACGAAAAUGGACCUCAGGAAAUAAAUACAUGCUCACCAGUGUUCUCCCUCCUCCGGACGCAGAGCUCCUGUAUCUGCACCAGCCACUGACACUUCAGUGCAUCUUCAGUUUCUUAUUUUGUAAAUAAACUAUUU
This is a non-coding RNA of Nothobranchius furzeri (turquoise killifish), 2296 nucleotides long. Lineage: Eukaryota; Metazoa; Chordata; Actinopteri; Cyprinodontiformes; Nothobranchiidae. The record is from RefSeq and is a predicted model, not a curated record.